UUCCUCAACUCUGCUGUCUGGACCAGGGACUUGGUGUCAAAGGCAAUGUCUCAGAAGAAACCUCAUGCAACACAGUGACAAUAUCAGCCCUGGAGACCCUAUCUCUGGACUCUGGGCACAAUGAGUAACGAAGCCAAAACACUGGAGAAUACGUUUAUGCAUUCAA
This is a long non-coding RNA of Cercocebus atys (sooty mangabey), 166 nucleotides long. RefSeq lists it as uncharacterized. The transcript has 2 exons. The record is from RefSeq and is a predicted model, not a curated record. Lineage: Eukaryota; Metazoa; Chordata; Mammalia; Primates; Cercopithecidae.